AGAGUUUGAUCCUGGCUCAGGAUGAACGCUGGCGGUAUGCUUAACACAUGCAAGUCGAACGGAGUACUUCGGUACUUAGUGGCGGACGGGUGAGUAACGCGUGAGAAUCUGCCUUCAGGUUCGGGACAACCACUGGAAACGGUGGCUAAUACCGAAUGUGCAGCAAUGUGAAAAAUUUAUUGCCUGAAGAUGAGCUCGCGUCUGAUUAGCUAGUAGGUGUGGUAAGAGCGCACUUAGGCGACGAUCAGUAGCUGGUCUGAGAGGAUGAUCAGCCACACUGGGACUGAGACACGGCCCAGACUCCUACGGGUGGCAGCAGUCGAGAAUUUUUCACAAUGGGGGCAACCCUGAUGGAGCGACGCCGCGUGGAGGAUGAAGGCUUUCGGGUUGUAAACUCCUGUCAUUUGGGAACAAGGUGCAUCGAUUAACUGUCGAUGCAUUGAUAGUACCAGAAGAGGAAGAGACGGCUAACUCUGUGCCAGCAGCCGCGGUAAUACAGAGGUCUCAAGCGUUGUUCGGAUUCAUUGGGCGUAAAGGGUGCGCAGGUGGCAGUUCAAGUCUGCUGUCAAAGACCGGGGCUUAACUUCGGAAAGGCAGUGGAAACUGAACAGCUAGAGUAUGGUAGGGGCAGAGGGAAUUCCUGGUGUAGCGGUGAAAUGCGUAGAGAUCAGGAAGAACAUCGGUGGCGAAGGCGCUCUGCUGGACCAUAACUGACACUCAGGGACGAAAGCUAGGGGAGCGAAUGGGAUUAGAUACCCCCGUAGUCC
This 767-nucleotide ribosomal RNA is filed under the name uncultured cyanobacterium. RNAcentral describes it as "bacterial SSU rRNA". It matches the Rfam family "Bacterial small subunit ribosomal RNA", at positions 8 to 796 of the family's 1533-position model. The record is from RNAcentral. Lineage: Bacteria; Bacillati; Cyanobacteriota.